GAGUUUGAUCAUGGCUCAGGAUGAACGCUGGCGGCGUGCUUAACACAUGCAAGUCGAACGAACCUUCGGGUUAGUGGCGGACGGGUGAGUAACGCGUGAGAAUCUGCCCUCAGGAGGGGGAUAACGGUUGGAAACGACCGCUAAUACCCCAUAUGCCGAUAGGUGAAAUGAAUUUCGCCUGAGGAUGAGCUCGCGUCUGAUUAGCUUGUUGGUGAGGUAAUGGCUCACCAAGGCUUCGAUCAGUAGCUGGUCUGAGAGGAUGAUCAGCCACACUGGGACUGAGACACGGCCCAGACUCCUACGGGAGGCAGCAGUGGGGAAUUUUCCGCAAUGGGCGAAAGCCUGACGGAGCAACGCCGCGUGAGGGACGAAGGCCUCUGGGCUGUAAACCUCUUUUCUCAAGGAAGAAGAUAUGACGGUACUUGAGGAAUAAGCCACGGCUAAUUCCGUGCCAGCAGCCGCGGUAAUACGGGAGUGGCAAGCGUUAUCCGGAAUUAUUGGGCGUAAAGCGUCCGCAGGCGGCCUUUCAAGUCUGCUGUUAAAGCGUGGAGCUUAACUCCAUUAUGGCAGUGGAAACUGAUCGGCUUGAGUAUGGUAGGGGCAGAGGGAAUUCCCGGUGUAGCGGUGAAAUGCGUAGAUAUCGGGAAGAACACCAGUGGCGAAGGCGCUCUGCUGGGCCAUUACUGACGCUCAUGGACGAAAGCCAGGGGAGCGAAAGGGAUUAGAUACCCCUGUAGUCCUGGCUGUAAACGAUGAACACUAGGUGUCGGGGGAAUCGACCCCUUCGGUGUCGUAGCUAACGCGUUAAGUGUUCCGCCUGGGGAGUACGCACGCAAGUGUGAAACUCAAAGGAAUUGACGGGGGCCCGCACAAGCGGUGGAGUAUGUGGUUUAAUUCGAUGCAACGCGAAGAACCUUACCAGGGUUUGACAUCCUGGGAACCUCUUAGAAAUUUGAGGGUGCCUUCGGGAAUUCAGUGACAGGUGGUGCAUGGCUGUCGUCAGCUCGUGUCGUGAGAUGUUGGGUUAAGUCCCGCAACGAGCGCAACCCACGUUUUUAGUUGCCAGCAUUUAGUUGGGCACUCUAGAAAGACCGCCGGUGAUAAACCGGAGGAAGGUGUGGAUGACGUCAAGUCAUCAUGCCCCUUACACCCUGGGCUACACACGUACUACAAUGCUACGGACAAAGGGCAGCAAACUCGCGAGAGCUAGCAAAUCCCAUAAACCGUGGCUCAGUUCAGAUCGUAGGCUGCAACUCGCCUACGUGAAGUAGGAAUCGCUAGUAAUCGCAGGUCAGCAUACUGCGGUGAAUACGUUCCCGGGCCUUGUACACACCGCCCGUCACACCAUGGAAGUUGGCCAUGCCCGAAGUCGUUACUCCAACCCUUGUGGAGGAGGACGCCGAAGGUGGGGCUUUUGACUGGGGUGAAGUCGUAACAAGGUAACC
RNAcentral lists this ribosomal RNA (1445 nucleotides) under uncultured marine cyanobacterium. RNAcentral describes it as "bacterial SSU rRNA". It matches the Rfam family "Bacterial small subunit ribosomal RNA". Lineage: Bacteria; Bacillati; Cyanobacteriota. The record is from RNAcentral.